AUCAGUUCUGGGGAGUUAGCACCAGCUUCCAAGAGGGGCGGAGUCAUUUUGGGAAGAGGAAAACCAGCCAAUAAUUCUGUAUUUGAGAUCUCAAAGAUUUCUCUAGGCCCUUGCAAAGCUUGUAGGCCCCAGCUACUGUUACCAUGGAGCCUGAUAGAUGAAACAGCCCUAGUGGACGAGAAGGACGGUUGUUCCUCUGCUGGGCAGAUGAGGAAUCUGAAGCUGGACAGGGGAAAGGACGUGGAGAAAGUCGCACAGCAGAGCAGGAGCUCAAAGAGUUUUGUCAGACACCAAGGACCCAGUCUUUCCUAGAAAGUUUGCAAAGCCCUGCCUCCUUGGUAGAUUUCCUUUCUGCUCUCCUGCAAGUGCCCUGCUGAGCCUCUGGGUAGACCUGACUGGGUUGCCCCUUCGUUGCCAAGGACGGAUCAUCUUGCUGGGCUUUCCCAGGGGCAUUAAUGAAACAGCUCCUGUGGUUGCAGCCACACAAAGCACAGUCAAGAUGGAAGUGAUUGCUGUCAUCGCUCAUGGUGGAAGUAGCGGUCCUGGAAACAUUACAGGAUGCUCUCAGAGAAUGCUGCUGUCACAAAGGAAUGAAACGAAUGGACAACCACCUCUCGUUAAGAGAACUUCUUCAUUCAGGCUCCCUGUUGAAGCGAACUCUGCACAUUGGACCACUGGCAUGUCUCUCCCAUUUCUAAAUGAUGGGUGGUGGAAAAUUCAGUUCUGCCCCUCCACAACACUGCAGCACGGCCUUCAGAACGCAAACUAAGUGCGAGGAAGCAUCCAUGAACCAAAAGCUCAAAGAUCCCUGCCUUUAAGAGCUGCCAUUCCAGUGGGGAGAAACAGAUAAGUGUCAUAAAUAAGUAAAUAAUAUAGAAUGUAAAAAAAAAUUACAAAUCACAAUGCGAUCCCAUUUCACAUCCACUAGGAUGGCUAUAAUAAAAAAGACAGACAAAAACACAUUGUGGCAGGGAUGUGGAGAAAUCAGAAUCCUCAUACACUGCUGGUGGGACGUAAAAUGGGACAGCCACUUUAGAAAAGUUCCUGAAAAAGUUAAACAUGGAGUUACCAUAUGAUCCAGAAAUUCUACUCCUACUUAUAGACCCAAGAGAUUGAAAAUAUGUCUACACAAAAACUUGUCACAACUAUUCAUAGCAGCAUUAGUCAUGAUAGCCAAAAAGUGGGAACAACCCAAAUGUUCAUCAACUGAUGAAUGGAUAAAUAAAAUGUGGUAUAUCUAUGCAAUAGAAUAUUAUUCAGGCAAAAAAACUAAUCAAGUAUUGACAUAUAAUACAACAUGGAUGAACCUUAAAAACAUUACGCUAAGUGAAAAAAGCUAGACCCAAAAGACCACACACUGUAUCAUUCAAUUUAUAUGAAAUGUCCAUAAUAGGCAAAUCCAUACAGACAGAAAGUAAAUCACUGGUUACCAGGGGCCGAGAGAAGGGGGAAUUGGAGAGUGACUGCUACUGGGUCCAGAUUUUCUUUUGGGGAUGACGAAACUGUUCUGGAAUUAGCUAGCAGUGACACUGGCACAACUUUGUGAAUAUCCUAAAAAUCACUUAAUUGUACACUUUAAAAGCGUUAUUUUAUGGUAUAGGAAUUAUUUCAAUUUUUUUAAAAAAGGGUUAUGGUUGCUAUGAAAUAAAAGAAAAAAUAGAACAGGUUAGGGGUAUAUGGAGUGAGUCAGGCAGGCAGGUUGCAAUUUUAAAUAGAGUGGUCAAAAUAGUUCUGAGAAGAGAACAUUUAGGCAAGAAUUUGGAAGGGGUAUGGGAGAUAGUCGUGUGAUCAUGAGGCAGAGGUCUUCCAGGCAAAGCAGAGAAGCAGCGCGCAGGAGGGAGCGUGCCUUUGGUGGUUGGGGAACAAGAAGAGGCCUGUGUGGCUAGAGUGAAGGAAAUAAGGCGGUGGGGAGCGGUGCAGUCAGAUCCUGUUGGGUCUUGUAGGCCAUUAUCAGGACUUUGGCUUUUACCCUGAGUGAAAUGGGGAUCCACUGAAGGAUGUUGAGCAGAGGAGUGACCUGAUCUACCUUAUAGUUUAAAGGAUUACUCUGGCUGCUGUGCUGAGAAGCAUAAUAAUUGUUAUCAAUUAGGAGCCAAGAUCUGCUCUGGCAUGAAGCACU
Molecule: long non-coding RNA, 2119 nt
Filed under: Equus caballus (horse)
Lineage: Eukaryota; Metazoa; Chordata; Mammalia; Perissodactyla; Equidae
Description: lncRNA (ENSECAG00000053836.1)
Source: RNAcentral